Solea senegalensis (Senegalese sole) is the source of this 1510-nucleotide long non-coding RNA. RefSeq lists it as uncharacterized. Lineage: Eukaryota; Metazoa; Chordata; Actinopteri; Pleuronectiformes; Soleidae. The transcript has 3 exons. The record is from RefSeq and is a predicted model, not a curated record.
CUUUCAUCACCUAGGCAACGCAACGUGGACACGUCCAUCUUUAACUAACCUUGGGCACAGCUGCCUGAAAGCGGAUGUUGGUGGCGGGAGUUGGGGCCGAGGAAAGCAUGGAGAUGAUGACUACCAGCACAUCCGGCCGUGACGGAGGACAGUCCCGGGCAAAGAGGCACGGUGACUUCAGCCAGAGAGAUGGUGUCGUACAGGUCGGCUGCAGGGGUCAAGCUCUUCUCCACAGCUGUGAGACUGAGGUUAGACAGGAGGAGAGCGUCGGGCUGCUCCGAUUGGACGGGGAGACUGGACGUUAGCCCUGGAGUGGUGGGAGAGGACGUGGUGUUUGGAAGAGGCCUAGGGCUGCUCUUGCCGUUACUGCUGGACUUGGUCUGGAGAUCCCGUAAAGUGACUCUGGAAUGAGGUUGGUUCUUAUCCCUGAGUGUAGAACAUGUAAAUCCACUGUCAGUGGGACCCAAGUUUCAUUACACCUCAGUGUUGUGAGAUGUUAGUAUAUUUAUCUUUUGACAUAAACACUUCCAUAUUUACUUCUAUUAGACACGAGCAAUGGUAAAUAUAGUGCAUUCGUAGUCUUGAAGACCACUCAAAACAUGGUGUUAACGAGCAACGAGCGGAACCAGGAAUCAAACCCACAACCGCUCUACCACUGAGCUACUAUCACCCCAAGCCUAACAUCUUCCCGUGACUGGCUCUUACCAUUUGACCUGCUGACACUCUGGAGGUAAAGACUGCUGCAGCAAUGUUUUCCCCAGCAAAUCCAGUUCUUCCAUGGCUUUAGGAGGAGCAGUGGAGCCCCCUGUUGGUGGAGCCUGCUGCUGUAGUUGUACCAUAGCUGGUAGCAGCACCGCAGCCGCUACAGGCGGAGCAGACGAGUCUGUGCUAUCAGAGGUCUGAGAAAACAAACGGAGGGUCAGAGUUUGUGCAUCAGGACUGGACAGGGGAGGAGAUGAUGUUGGGUAAACUGACUUUAAUGUGAGCGCAAGUUAUCUUCAAGUUUACCUGGAAUGAGUUCUGGGAGUUGUAGUUUUCGGUUACAUUCAGUCCUAAGAAAACAAAAACAAUGGAAAAUGUUGAUAAUGUUUGGUUCCAGGUUUUGAUAAUUAAAACAUUAACGUGGGAGCCAGUAUUGAGCUAAUUUAGUUUAGUUUAGUAAGGUUCAGAGUUAAAUAUUCUUGCAAGGAAAGGAACGUGGCUUUGUGUACCUUUUGAUGUUCCUUAUUAGAUAAAGGGACACUGAUAUAUUUGAAGGCUAUGAUAGAUAGAGGGAUUGUGACGGGAAAAUAUCUAGAGGUUUUGUAGGUUGACGUGUCUGUAAGAAGCUGUGCUAGGUUUGGUGUAAAAAGGUUUCUUCACCGUUAGGUCAUGCUAUGUUACGUUAUGGUACGUUAUAUUACUGUUAAAUCAAUAGAUCGUCAUUCGUGUGUUGAUCCGAAAGAAGCUUGGACAUGGAUGGAAACGUAACUUGGAUGUAUGGCAAGUGGAAAUAAAUGUGCAAACCCUU